Molecule: ribosomal RNA, 456 nt
Filed under: uncultured Bacteroidales bacterium
Lineage: Bacteria; Pseudomonadati; Bacteroidota; Bacteroidia; Bacteroidales
Description: bacterial SSU rRNA
Rfam family: Bacterial small subunit ribosomal RNA
Source: RNAcentral
GGGCCCGCACAAGCGGAGGAACAUGUGGUUUAAUUCGAUGAUACGCGAGGAACCUUACCCGGGCUAGAACGCAGGAGGAAUGUUGGGGAAACUCAACAGCCAGCAAUGGUCUCCUGCGAGGUGCUGCAUGGUUGUCGUCAGCUCGUGCCGUGAGGUGUCGGCUUAAGUGCCAUAACGAGCGCAACCCUUACCAUUAGUUGCCAGCGGGUAGAGCCGGGGACUCUAGUGGAACUGCCAGCGUAAGCUGUGAGGAAGGUGGGGAUGACGUCAAAUCAGCACGGCCCUUACGUCCGGGGCGACACACGUGUUACAAUGGAUGGUACAGAGGGCAGCUACCACGCGAGUGGANGUUUCGAAUCUUCAAAGCCAUUCUCAGUUCGGAUCGGAGUCUGCAACUCGACUCCGUGAAGCUGGAUUCGCUAGUAAUCGCGCAUCAGCCAUGGCGCGGUGAAUACG